RNAcentral lists this ribosomal RNA (460 nucleotides) under uncultured bacterium. RNAcentral describes it as "partial 16S ribosomal RNA". It matches the Rfam family "Bacterial small subunit ribosomal RNA", at positions 338 to 795 of the family's 1533-position model. The record is from RNAcentral.
CCUACGGGAGGCAGCAGUGAGGAAUAUUGGUCAAUGGCCGUAAGGCUGAACCAGCCAAGUCGCGUGAAAGAAGAAGGAUCUCUGGUUUGUAAACUACUUUUAUAGGGGAAUAAAGGUAUCCACGUGUGGAUAUUUGCAUUUACCCUAUGAAUAAGCAUCGGCUAACUCCGUGCCAGCAGCCGCGGUAAUACGGAGGAUGCGAGCGUUAUCCGGAUUUAUUGGGUUUAAAGGGUGCGUAGGUUGUUUUUUAAGUCAGCGGUGAAAGUUUGUGGCUCAACCAUAAAAUUGCCGUUGAAACUGGAAGACGUGAGUGUGUUUGAGGUAGGCGGAAUGCGUGGUGUAGCGGUGAAAUGCAUAGAUAUCACGCAGAACUCCGAUUGCGAAGGCAGCUUACUAAGCCAUAACUGACACUGAAGCACGAAAGCGUGGGGAUCAAACAGGAUUAGAUACCCCAGUAGUC